This is a long non-coding RNA of Stylophora pistillata, 660 nucleotides long. RefSeq lists it as uncharacterized. The record is from RefSeq and is a predicted model, not a curated record. NCBI's taxonomy places the organism in Eukaryota, Metazoa, Cnidaria, Anthozoa, Scleractinia, Pocilloporidae.
UCUGCAAGUUAAAAAGUUAAAUUAGAGCUGAAAAAAAAUCAUUAUACGGAAGCAAGCUUUUGGCUAUAGAGUGGUUAAGGUUCCAACGCAUCGAGUCAGUUAAUUACUCUGAAUCUUCGCUGCUAAUCAAGGGUUAGCCCACCGAAACCCAUCACUAUGACAUCUACGAACUAACGCCAGGGGGCAAAAAAGGAGCGAAUUACAUGAUUAAGUUUCUUGACUGCCAAGCGUCUUACAUCGGAGAGAUUGUUUAGAACCUCGACACGAGACCGAGGUAGGAACACAAACUAGCGAGGAAGAAGGGUGAUAUCAACAAUCAAUGAACAUCAUUGACUAUUGAUCGGAACUCAGCUCAAUUUUACGACUUAGGGAACAAUCAAACUGCAGUCAAUUACUGACUUUGGAAUGCAGACUUUUCGCCUAAAGCCGCCAAUUACGUUUUACAUGUUUGAGUUUACUACUGGCCAGCUUCCCGAUAAUUGACGUGAAAAGAAAGGUAAAAAGGAGUUGAAGUACUACCAGCUUUGGAGCUUGUUACCUGUUUUACGGUACAUGGAAUUUUUAAACAAAUAGAUUGACUCUCGUAACAAGAAUCUUGAAUUCCACUCAGCUAGACUGUUGUCAUGCAAUCAUUGUAAAAAAUAAACACUUUCAAAUUUA